Acinonyx jubatus (cheetah) is the source of this 1865-nucleotide long non-coding RNA. RefSeq lists it as uncharacterized. Lineage: Eukaryota; Metazoa; Chordata; Mammalia; Carnivora; Felidae. The transcript has 4 exons. The record is from RefSeq and is a predicted model, not a curated record.
AUUUCUCCUGGGGCUGCUGCAAAUCCCACUAAGUGUAAUCUUUGCUGGAUAAUAAAAAGGUUGUCACUUUAAGCAAAAAUUACUAAAGGGCUGGCUGGGGCACCAGCAUCAGAGCUGCUCGACUCUGGAAGGCUAAGAGCAGUGGUUCUCAAACUCUGUGCCUGUGGAACACUCGGGUUCUGUGAGCCACCACAGAAGGAGUGAGAGGUGAUCUUUCCUAAUUACUGGAAAGGGAUGACUUACAACCACACGAUGUAAAACGUGUGAGAUCUGCAUGUGUCAGCAAAUGUGGAAUGAUAGUUAAGAGAAAUGAAGUGUGAAAAUGUACAGAAGAUUUAGUACAAUUUGUUGUAUUUCGGGUAAAAAAAAGAGAGGAUCUAUGAAUGUGCAUCUUUAUUAUGUAUAUGCAUUAAAAUUUCUGGAAGGAUCCAUAAGAAACUUCAUGGUUACUUCUGGGGGUGCUGGGACUGGAGGAGUUCAGGGAGGGAGAGAAAAACGUACGUCUCAUCAGGUAUUCCUUUGUGUUCCGAAAAAAAUUUUUUUACCACGUGUUAUUCCCAAGAUUUUUAAUAUGCAAAGGUAUUAAGUUAAUGAAUAGAACAGUACCUCUUUAAAUAUUUCAUACCCUAACACUUCUUAAAACCCUUGCCACCAGCUACUCAAUAAUGAAUAUUAAUGCAAAAACUUGGAAACAGCUGAUCAUGCUCUUUUGACAGCUUGUAUAUUCACGGGCACACAUUUGUUUGUGGUUGUGAUCAGAAUAUAAACAUAGAAUCUGGCCCUCCUUACAGAACGGACUUGAGUUUAACCAAUGCUGAGGUUUCCUGCACAGAGUCCCACACUCUCCAGGAGGCUCAGCACCUGAGGCCAUUUGGGACCCACAGGCUGAGUGGAUGGCACAGUUCCAAGGGCCUGCCGGGGAGGGCGAAGUCAGGACUGUAGCUGUUUUAGCCAGAAGAGUACCAGUGAUCUGUGCAAGAGCCCCAGUGAUCUGUGCACCACUGCUGGGGACCUGACCUGGUCCAGGCUAUGUGACAGGAAAGAAAGUUGAGGGGUUGAUGCUGUGGAAGACGGACGAGAAGGCACUGCUCGAGAAACGUGGGGAGGACAGGGGAAAGCUCAUGCUCACGGGCCGCUCUGUAACCAAGACAAGCCAUGGAGGAAUGGAGGACUGCUUUUGUUCUGAGCCUCCCCAGAAAAGUGGUUUCAGGCACCAACCACGGGCCGGCGAGAAGCCACGUGGGCCACCUGGAAGAACGGAGAUGGUGUCCCCAGGUUACCUCUCAUCAUGCCUGGGACAUCCCCGCCCCUCUUCUUCAGCUCCCCAUAGCAGCCAUCACAGACCUUGGCCAUCCGGUCCUUGAGGCGACUGCAUCAAAGAACCAGGUAGCACUGUGGAGUACUACGUAGCAACCAAAAGGAACUGAUGGUACACACGACAGCAUGGGUGAAUUUCGAAGACAUGCCAAGUGAAAGAAGCCAGACACAGAGGAGGAUACACUGCUUCAUAACAUUUAUAUGAAGUACCAGAUGAGGCAAAGCUAACCUGUAGUGAUGGAAAUUAGGCCAGUGGUUGCCCGAACAGGGGGUGGAGGAAGUGAGUGCUAAGAGGCACAGGUGAACAUUCAAGAAAUAUUCUGUAUCUUGGGGUGCCUGGAUGGCUCAGUCGGUUAAGCGCCGACUUUGGCUCGGGUCGUGAUCUCACGGUUCGUGGGUUCAAGCCCCACAUUGGGCUCUGUGCUGUCAGCUCAGAGCCUGGAGCCUGCUUGGGAUUCUGUGUCUCCCUCUCUCUCUGCCCCUCCCCAGCUCACACUCUGUUUCUCUCUCCUUCAAAAAUAAAUAAACAUUAAAAAAAAAAAAAGAAA